ACGUAGGAGGCGAACGUUAUCCGGAUUUACUGGGCGUAAAGCGCGCGCAGGCGGAAUUGUAAGUAGGUAGUCAAAGGUCCAGGCUCAACUUGCAGAGGUCUAUCGAUACUGUAGAUCUAGAGUAUGUGAGAGGGAAGCGGAAUUCCAGGUGUAGCGGUGAAAUGCGCAGAUAUCGGGAGGAACACCAGUGGCGAAGGCGGCUUCCUGGCACAAUACUGACGCUCAUGUGCGAAAGCUAGGGCAGCGAACGG
RNAcentral lists this ribosomal RNA (251 nucleotides) under uncultured prokaryote. RNAcentral's name for it is "partial 16S rRNA". It matches the Rfam family "Bacterial small subunit ribosomal RNA", at positions 525 to 775 of the family's 1533-position model. The record is from RNAcentral.